AUGGCCCCCAUGGCGCCGAGGAAACGCGCCAGAUACUGCUGCGGCCUCUGCGGCCUCCCAAAGAAGGGCCAUGUCUGCCACUUCGCCGGCGGUUCGUCUUCGGCGCGGCUGGUGCAGGGCCGAGAAGAAGCGCCGCCGCCCAGGGACCCUCCUGCUGCUGGCGCCAAGAAGGAGGAGGUCACCAUCAUCACCGCCCUCCCCAACGACGUCCUAGGCACCAUCAUCUCCGCGCUCCCCAUCGACGAGGCCGCCCGCACAAAUGCCAUCUCCAAAGGCUGGAAACACGUCUGGCGCGACUACACCCCGCUCAACCUCGACGACCGCGACCUCCACAAAAUGGCCUGGACCGGAGACAACCUAGUCGACCUUAUCUCAGACAUCCUCGAGGCUCCACGCGAGGUACGCGCCCGUCGUCUUUCUCUCAGCACGCUAUGCCAGCACUCCGGUGAUCGAGACCGCUACCCCAUCUUCGACCGCUGGUUCCGAUCCAAGGUUCUGGAUCACCUCGAGGAUUUUCAUUUCAGCUACCAGCGGGUGAACAACACCGAACCACUACAGGAUGGCGAGUUGAUGCCGCCGCUGCCGCCAUCCGCGCUGAGCUUUUCCUCCCUCCGCGUCGCCAGCUUUGGUUGCUGCCAUUUCCCUGAGAAUAUCUUAGCCUUGGGCGGCAUCACUUUUCCAUAUCUCAUCGAGCUCACACUCUGCCGGAUAACAAACUCCGAAAACACACUGCACGCCAUGAUAGCCGCAUCUCCAAAUCUUGUCUACUUGUACCUUCACAGAAACUAUCACUUCCGUCGCGUCCACAUCAGCUCGCAAACUAUUGUAAGGUUCCGCAUGUUUGUUGACCCAGACAGUGAUGUGAUGGAAGAACUCCUCAUCGUCAACACUCCAAGCCUAGAGGAAGUGAUGCUCUGGGACCAAGGUGAUUGUGGUCCACGAAUCAUACGUGUCCUGGUUGCCCCAAAACUUCACAUCUUGGGUUGUCUGCACAGCGACAUGAUGUCCACCGUACAGCUUGGGAAGACAGUACUCCAGGUAUAUAUGUAUCUAGGAGCCACACAGGGCAUCUGUAUAUAUCAUUCUUUUGCAAUCUUACUUAUAUACAUAUUCUUUCGUGCUUUGACGAUCCAGGCAAUGGUUGACAGCAGUCUAGUGUCAUCACUGCAUAAUGUAAAGGUCUUGAAGCUUGUUGUCCAUGGUCUUAGGUUAAAUCAUGUCAUUGACGUCCUCCAAUGCUUUCCCUGCUUACAACAGCUUCACAUAAAUACAUUGAUGAGCCAUGUUCCAAACAAGCAGAACGACAAUCCAGCUGCUACUACUGUUGAGUGUGUUGAUAGACAUUUAAAGCAAGUAGUAGUGAGAAAUUAUUCAGGCAAGAAACCAGAUUAUAACUUUGCCAAGUUUUUUGUUUUGAACGCAAGAGCGCUAGAGUCCAUGAAGCUCCAUGUCCCUUUUAGCUGGAACAACGAAUGGCGCUCUAGACAACGUAUCAAGAUGGAUUUUAAGAACAGAGCUUCUCCAAAUGCUUUGGUUUAUUUUGAGGGCACCAAGUGA
Molecule: ribosomal RNA, 1557 nt
Filed under: Triticum aestivum (bread wheat)
Lineage: Eukaryota; Viridiplantae; Streptophyta; Magnoliopsida; Poales; Poaceae
Description: partial small subunit ribosomal RNA
Source: RNAcentral